Molecule: ribosomal RNA, 262 nt
Filed under: uncultured bacterium
Lineage: Bacteria
Description: partial 16S ribosomal RNA
Rfam family: Bacterial small subunit ribosomal RNA
Source: RNAcentral
UGGGUCCUACGGGAGGCAGCAGCAGGGAAUCUUCCACAAUGGGCGAAAGCCUGAUGGAGCAACGCCGCGUGGGUGAAGAAGGUCUUCGGAUCGUAAAACCCUGUUGUUAGAGAAGAAAGUGCGUGAGAGUAACUGUUCACGUUUCGACGGUAUCUAACAAGAAAGCCACGGCUAACUACGUGCCAGCAGCCGCGGUAAUAAGUAGGUGGCAAGCGUGAGCCGGAUUUAUUGGGAGUAAAGGGAACGCAGGCGUUCUUUUAAG